GGGCCUCUAGCUCAAUUGGCAGAGCUGCGGACUUUUAAUCCGUAGGUUGUCGGUUCGAAUCCGACGGGGCCCACCA
RNAcentral lists this transfer RNA (76 nucleotides) under Knoellia koreensis. RNAcentral describes it as "tRNA-Lys". It matches the Rfam family "tRNA". From Rfam's summary of the family: Transfer RNA (tRNA) molecules are approximately 80 nucleotides in length. Their secondary structure includes four short double-helical elements and three loops (D, anti-codon, and T loops). Lineage: Bacteria; Bacillati; Actinomycetota; Actinomycetes; Micrococcales; Intrasporangiaceae. The record is from RNAcentral.